CUGUCAUCUCUAACAUUUCCAAACGUUGCAGGUGAAGUCAUUUUGGAUAGUUUCCAUACACAAUUCCGUCAAUUAACCAAAAAUUUAACUUUGACCACAAUUUUAAUAUUUUAAAAGAGAUAAAUGAGUAAGUCUUCAUUUAUCACAUUAAAUAAAUAAAUUUAAAACAUAAGAAAUAAAAAGUAAAAAAGAAAUACACACAAAGUCUUCUUCUUCCUCUCACCCCUCAACCAACCCACAUCAAACCCAAAAUCCACCUAACCACUGCCACUCCCACCUCGACAAUCAUUUUCUACUAGUCUCCAUUAUCUAUCCCAUCACAAUCGUUGUCACCUAACAACCUCAAUCAAUUUAUAAUCUCAUGGUGAAUAUAAAGCGGGAGAUCUUGAUUAUGCAUAUAUCGAAUCACCUGCAUAUUGUGAUGCUAUAUGAAAUUCUGGCAACAGAAACUAGAUUUAUUUUGUUAAAAGAGGUUAAUUAUUUGCGAAAGUGUGGAAAGGGCAUUUCGACGAAGAUCUCAGCCGCAUUAUUUUCAACAACUGAUCUCCGCAUUGAGUUAAUACCAUUCACACGACAUUUACCACCGCGAUUUGAAGCUAGAAAAUCUGUUACUAGAAGAGAAUGGUGAUUUGAAAGUCACCGAUUUCGAACUCUGCACCAUCACCAAACAUAUUCAUCCUGACGAGCUUCUACACACGCUAUGUGGAACUCUAGCUUAUGUAAAGCAAAAAAAUUUUGGCCAAAAAAAGGCUACGACGGUGCCAAAAUUGGGUGGCUGAUUAUGAUGGGAUGGGUGAUGGUGAUUGAUAGCAGGUUGUUGUAGAGAUGGAGGUGGCGAUGGUUAGGUGAAUUUUGGGUUCGAGGUAAGCGUGGGUGAUAGCAAAGGGUUGAGAGGAUAAAUAUGACUAUGCCUCCGUUUGGCUCCUAUUCUCCUUUUUAUUCUUUUUCUCUCUUAUUUUCUAUUACACAAUCUCACAUAAAAUAAUAUUACAUGCAAAUAAAAAAAAAUCUUUUUUUUUUCAAAUACA
This 1028-nucleotide long non-coding RNA is filed under the name Olea europaea subsp. europaea. Lineage: Eukaryota; Viridiplantae; Streptophyta; Magnoliopsida; Lamiales; Oleaceae. The record is from RNAcentral.